RNAcentral lists this ribosomal RNA (524 nucleotides) under Vibrio parahaemolyticus. RNAcentral's name for it is "bacterial SSU rRNA". It matches the Rfam family "Bacterial small subunit ribosomal RNA", at positions 342 to 858 of the family's 1533-position model. The record is from RNAcentral. Lineage: Bacteria; Pseudomonadati; Pseudomonadota; Gammaproteobacteria; Vibrionales; Vibrionaceae.
CGGGAGGCAGCAGUGGGGAAUAUUGCACAAUGGGCGCAAGCCUGAUGCAGCCAUGCCGCGUGUGUGAAGAAGGCCUUCGGGUUGUAAAGCACUUUCAGUCGUGAGGAAGGUAGUGUAGUUAAUAGCUGCAUUAUUUGACGUUAGCGACAGAAGAAGCACCGGCUAACUCCGUGCCAGCAGCCGCGGUAAUACGGAGGGUGCGAGCGUUAAUCGGAAUUACUGGGCGUAAAGCGCAUGCAGGUGGUUUGUUAAGUCAGAUGUGAAAGCCCGGGGCUCAACCUCGGAAUUGCAUUUGAAACUGGCAGACUAGAGUACUGUAGAGGGGGGUAGAAUUUCAGGUGUAGCGGUGAAAUGCGUAGAGAUCUGAAGGAAUACCGGUGGCGAAGGCGGCCCCCUGGACAGAUACUGACACUCAGAUGCGAAAGCGUGGGGAGCAAACAGGAUUAGAUACCCUGGUAGUCCACGCCGUAAACGAUGUCUACUUGGAGGUUGUGGCCUUGAGCCGUGGCUUUCGGAGCUAACGC